CAAAACGUAAUUAUUACAUGUAUUUCUUUAAAUUUUCUAACCAAUAAAACAAAAUUCUAAACAUUGUUAUUUUUACAAUACAAAAGGUUGCAAACAAUCAUAUAAUAUAUAAAAAUAUUGGUAAUUUAAAGGCAGUUGCUUUGAAUUAUAAAAUUUGGAUGUAUUUUCAGUGGUCAAACUAAUGCUGAAAAAGGUAUAAUAAUACUACUUGAGACAGGGUGGCUCUGACAUGUGAUAUAGUUCACAAUUUGGUUUGUGUAAGUCUUUCUUUCCGUGAUUUUACAUCCUCUUUGAAUUCAUUGAACAAAAAAACAUCCCCCUUAAAUUUUUUCAAUCAGGUUCAUUAAAGCAAAAACAUUAAGUAUAGGCGGUCAAGUAAUCUCAUUUUACUGUAAACUAAAAAACUUUGAAUAUUUUUUAAAAAAAUUUAUAAAUUUAAGGAAUGACUGUAAUAUUUUUUCUGUCUAUUCGAAAUAACAUAAAAAAAUUUGGUGCACACUGAAUAACGCGCGUAGCGGGUUAUUUAACAGUGUGCACCACAUUUUUUAUGUUAUUUCGAAUAGACAGAAAAA
Molecule: long non-coding RNA, 572 nt
Filed under: Mytilus galloprovincialis (Mediterranean mussel)
Lineage: Eukaryota; Metazoa; Mollusca; Bivalvia; Mytilida; Mytilidae
Source: RNAcentral